RNAcentral lists this unclassified non-coding RNA (602 nucleotides) under Hevea brasiliensis (rubber tree). Lineage: Eukaryota; Viridiplantae; Streptophyta; Magnoliopsida; Malpighiales; Euphorbiaceae. The record is from RNAcentral.
UCAACUAAGAUAUAAUAUCAAUGGCUUUCUCAGAAGUAUUACUAUGAUGGGUAUGAAUCUGAAAGAGCAGCUGCUUCGCAAUAAUUUUCCUACGUAAUACGGUGGCUUAGUGGUCAUCCUCAGUCAGAAGGAACGUCGCUUCUCGCUGGACGCAUACCCAUAAUAGUAGUUUCUCAUGUUUUUACCAAAUGAAAAUCCAAAGUACCUUAACAGACAGCCCCAACCAAUCAACUCAAUUGUGAAAAAUUUACAUAAAAAAUUAUUACUAAACAAUGGCAAAUCCGACUCUACCUAGUAGAUCCUAUGGAACCCUAUUGCACCAGCCGGCUUUUCUUUGAUUGGCUCUUAAAGAUUGAAUAAAAACAGGCCAGAAUUUUCUGUUCGACCCUCUGAUUUCAAUAAUAAUGGACUAAUUAAAAUAAACCCAAAAAGAUUGGGUCUUGACUCUUGAGGGAGAGAGAAGGUAUUAGGACGAUAAUAGAGAGAGAGAGAGAGAGUUUUACGUGGUUUGACAAUUGUAUUUACGUCCAUGGAUAGUUGCUUGCUUUUUAAUUAUCCCCCUUUUUGGAAAUUAGAAGUUUACAAGAAUUUAAUUCAAUUGA